CCCUUUGGGGUGUGACUGCGUACCUUUUGUAUAAUGGGUCAGCGACUUAUAUUCUGUAGCAAGGUUAACCGAAUAGGGGAGCCGCAGGGAAACCGAGUCUUAACCGGGCGUUAAGUUGCAGGGUAUAGACCCGAAACCCGGUGAUCUAGCCAUGGGCAGGUUGAAGGUUGGGUAACACUAACUGGAGGACCGAACCGACUAAUGUUGAAAAAUUAGCGGAUGACCUGUGGCUGGGGGUGAAAGGCCAAUCAAACCGGGAGAUAGCUGGUUCUCCCCGAAAGCUAUUUAGGUAGCGCCUCGUGAAUUCAUCUCCGGGGGUAGAGCACUGUUUCGGCUAGGGGGCCAUCCCGGCUUACCAACCCGAUGCAAACUGCGAAUACCGGAGAAUGUUAUCACGGGAGACACACGGCGGGUGCUAACGUCCGUCGUGAAGAGGGAAACAACCCAGACCGCCAGCUAAGGUCCCAAAGUCAUGGUUAAGUGGGAAACGAUGUGGGAAGGCCCAGACAGCCAGGAUGUUGGCUUAGAAGCAGCCAUCAUUUAAAGAAAGCGUAAUAGCUCACUGGUCGAGUCGGCCUGCGCGGAAGAUGUAACGGGGCUAAACCAU
RNAcentral lists this ribosomal RNA (607 nucleotides) under Salmonella enterica subsp. enterica. RNAcentral describes it as "partial 23S ribosomal RNA". It matches the Rfam family "Bacterial large subunit ribosomal RNA", at positions 582 to 1190 of the family's 2925-position model. Lineage: Bacteria; Pseudomonadati; Pseudomonadota; Gammaproteobacteria; Enterobacterales; Enterobacteriaceae. The record is from RNAcentral.